UCAUGGGAUAUGCAAGCCCAGAGAAAGAUCAUACUAUUCCCUCAAUCUUGGUUGACCUUAGAGAGCACGGGCCAAAAUAUUGCUGCUUUUUCCUUGGCCCUUUUUCUUCCUUGUCUUUGGUCUCCAAAUUUUGGACAGCCAGCAGCAAUUCAACUUGAUUUUUCAUCUGCAUAAUCAAGGAUUUGUUGGAAGGAUACUGGGAGAGGCUCAUAGGACUGAAUGAAGAACCAAACAAUUACACCUCAAGGAGACCAAGGGGUAGAGUUCGCCUGCAUCCACCUGGGGAGUCACCCCAGGCUGGGGUUCCUUAUUCACCAAAGCAUGGCUCCACAGCCCAACAUCAGGAUACUUAUAGGCUUGGGACUGUCACCGCCACAAAACUGGGAUAGCACCGCUUCUAUCAAGGGACAACAAUAAGGACGUGAUUGGAGAAAAAACUUGCUCUCAUACUUUGGGGUUUUGAUUUGGAAAACUAGAAAACAAUGUGAGACUCUGACUUCUAAACAGGUCGGCUAACUAUUACCAUCACAAAUAUCCUUCUGUGUGUCUCUUGCCCUUCCCUGCCCUCAACCUUUGGAUGAUGCUGUCCCCUGGUGGUCACUAUGAACGGCUUCUCUAGCUCAGUAGCUCUUUUGCAGACUUAAUCACUCUGGCUCGUAGUUUGAUGAAGACAGCUCACCUCUGCUGGAUGAACUGUUAUGCAAUUCCCAGCACCAAAAAAAGCAACAUCAGAAGAUGGGUGACUAUUUAUUUACACGUUUGUUAUCGUUUCUGCUGGAGAAUAAAGAAUGAGUCUGAAUUCUAAAAGCCCAGCCUGCAGGAAGCCCCAUCAUUCUCUCCACACUUCUGCUGUCACUCCCAUUGUAGGCAGAACAUUAUUCAAACUGCAGGCUCCAAACUCCCAGAUCCUAACCCACUCCUGUUCACACAGACAAUGAGAAAAUCUAUGUCGAAUCACAACAGUACUCUGGAGGACAAGGCUGAAAUGCAAGUGUGGCCGGGUUCUUGGUUUCUUUUUUCUUCAAUCUCACAGUCUCAAUGUUAUCAGAGGCUGGGAGAGACUGCUAGAGAGAAACACCAAGAACAUCCUGUGGUGAUGGUCAGCACACACUCAGAACUGAUUAACAGCUUGACCGCACAGCCCCGGGCACCCACAGAGAGUGGCCCUGCCCCGGGCUCUCAGGCUGGAGAAGUGGUUUCUUCCAAAGGCAAAGAACCUUCGACCCACGGGCUCCAUCAGGCCCAUCAGGUCAACCGUUGGUUUACAGAACAUCGGCAAUUGUCUUUCUCCUUGUGUCAGGAGCCUCUUGAAACAUUAUACGAGGAUAAUUAAGUGGUGAAUAAGGGUCAAUGUGGACAAAUAAAUCAAACUGAUAGUUUGAACACAGACUGAUUGAGCAAAAACAAGGAAUUCUGCUAUGCCUGUUACUGCAGCGCUUGAUGUUAACUGACUUGGUUAACAUUACAUCCAAAGGCAGCAAGUGGGAACGCUUUGUGUGGGAUCAAAAGCUGAGCAAAGAGACACGGGAUUUAAUUGUUCAGCUUUAUUUUUGAAAUAAAGACAUGCAGCGCCUCCA
Non-coding RNA from Ictidomys tridecemlineatus (thirteen-lined ground squirrel), 1577 nucleotides. The record is from RefSeq and is a predicted model, not a curated record. Lineage: Eukaryota; Metazoa; Chordata; Mammalia; Rodentia; Sciuridae.